CCUACGUGCGGCUGCAGUGAGGAAUAUUGGUCAAUGGACGAGAGUCUGAACCAGCCAAGUAGCGUGAAGGAUGACUGCCCUAUGGGUUGUAAACUUCUUUUAUAAAGGAAUAAAACGAGGCACGUGUGCCUUUUUGCAUGUACUUUAUGAAUAAGGAUCGGCUAACUCCGUGCCAGCAGCCGCGGUAAUACGGAGGAUCCGAGCGUUAUCCGGAUUUAUUGGGUUUAAAGGGAGCGUAGAUGGGUUGUUAAGUCAGUUGUGAAAGUUUGCGGCUCAACCGUAAAAUUGCAAUUGAUACUGGCAGUCUUGAGUACAGUUGAGGUAGGCGGAAUUCGUGGUGUAGCGGUGAAAUGCUUAGAUAUCACGAAGAACCCCGAUUGCGAAGGCAGCUUACUAAACUGUGACUGACAUUGAUGCUCGAAAGUGUGGGUAUCAUACAGGAUUAGAUACCCUUGUAGUC
This 460-nucleotide ribosomal RNA is filed under the name uncultured bacterium. Its description in RNAcentral is "partial 16S ribosomal RNA". It matches the Rfam family "Bacterial small subunit ribosomal RNA", at positions 338 to 795 of the family's 1533-position model. The record is from RNAcentral.